AGAUUAUUUUCAUACCUUAGUCACAGUUGGGGAAUUUGUACUGGAGUAAAAUUCCACUGUCAAAUGUGAAAAAGCCAUCAGUCAACUACCUUGUUGGUUCAGUGUCAAAUUUGUGCCAUGCAUAAAGCCUGUGAAGACAUAGGUGUGUAUGUGAGGAAACUCAAGUCAUACCCCAGUGCUUGAUCACAUCGAGGAAACUAUACCCAGAAAUAGUCUAUACCCAAGAAAUUAUUUGGAUAUAGUAAAUGUGGCAGAUCUGUGAGCAGGAGUCCAUCUGUCAUCAGAAUGUACCAGAUGUGAGUCUGAUUGUUAUGCAAAUGCUAAGAUCAAAACAUCUGCACCAGAUGAGACUGAUAUAAUGCAAACGGUGAAAUUUAACCACUCUAUUUUCCAGGCCUUAUCCAGUAUCAAAGUAUUAGAAAAUGCUUACUUCUCUGUGUAAUUAUUACUAUUUAGUCUCAGUCUUUUUUACUGCUGAAUAACUGAAUCCAGAAGAUAAUUGGGAAACGAAGUCAUUUUCUCACAGUAUCCUUUAAUAAGUAUUCUAAGAAGGUACAAGUAUUUUAUUAUAGAACUCAUUUGAGUGAAUUUAUUUUAAUUUGGCCGAUACACAUUAAAACAUUUUUCUUCUUUGAAAUGGAUUCUUAUUCACAGUUUACCUAGAAUGCUGUUAAUGUGCCAGUGUUGACAUAGCUUCUGGAGAGUAGCUCAAUGAGCCUUCUCUGUUCUGGCCAGAGUACUCUCCAAAGGAGACUCAGGCCUAUUCUUUUCUGAGGACCCUACAGACUAUUGUUUCUAUAGCCACACCCUUGGCUUCCUGUUGAUUUCUGCGUUCUCUUAGGCAUCCUUAAAUGAUGUUCUGGUGUUAGCUUCUCACCAGCUGAUAAAGAGUUACUUCCACAUCAGCCAUCCAUACGUUUGGAGGAUUCAGUCUUCCUGAGUUUGUGGCAGGCACCCAAACAUUUGCAAGUGAUGUCCAAGUUUUUAGCUGCCUUGUUUGCAUCCACAGCCCUCUAAUGAGAUGACAAGGACAUCAGGGAGCCAGUAAGACUCCUGUUGGCCUAGCUACAUUCAUUCAGUGCCUACUUUGCAUGUAUGUGUAUGUUUAGAAUUCUUUUAUAUGCCUAUAUUGAAGGCCAACAAAAUGCUCAGGUCUGCUUUUGAUAGGGAAACAAAGAACACACAAAUCAGAAUAAGGAUAUACAGCCUUCCAAUAAAGAUAUUGCUGUUAGUGAUGUAUCUAGACAGUAUUUCAAGAGAGUGGCAGGUCCGUUCCUGGUAAAACCUUAAUCAUUAGGAUUGCUUCUUUAUCUGUUCCCUCCUCCACUCCCUUCAUCAAGCCAGGGUAGUAUUUUGAAGCAUAAAGCUUUGUGCAUAAUUAUUUGUGCAUUGCCAUACUUUUGUGUUGGGAUGCAGUCUUUGUUGCCCAGGCUGGUCUUGAAUUCCUGGGUUCACACAAUUUCCUGCCUCCCAAAUAGCUGGGAUUAUAGGCAUGCGCUCCUGUGCCUGGAUUUUAUUUUUGUAUUUUAAUAGAAUCUGCAGGCCAUAUAAAGGAUCAUGGCUCUUUUGAUUUACAGAAGUGGUCACAGGUGUUGAGUCCAGGGUCCCUGCCCGAUGCCACAGAGUUCAUGAUUUUUUACAUGAUGUGAAGCAUUUUCAUCUUAAAAUUUGUAACAUCUUGUGAAUAAGAAAAGUGUUAUUUCAAAUUCUAGUUGUCAAUCAAGCAGUUGAGGCUUUCAUAGUUCAGAUGUCAUAAUGUUCACUAGGGAUCCUCAACCAGUAUAUAAAAUAUGCUGCUCACUGUAAAUCUUGUGGCUGACCUCUAGGGUAGUCCCACCACUGUAUUUUACUUCUUUGCCAUCAGCAAGCGUAGUGUCUCAUCAGGACAAGAAAAUCAACAUAUAUCAAAUUGAUCUAAAUGUAAAAGCAAAUGAAAAAUGCAUGGUUUUUUGUCCCUGUCGAACAUGUAUAUUCUUACUUAUAGAGACCAAUAGUCACUUCCAGUGACUGAGGCAGAGGAUUUGAUUCAUUCCUAAGUAGCAGAAUCUGUAAAAACCCCACGUAUGCAUUUGGGUUUGGAACGUGCUUUUGUACUUCUACUUGAAUAAAGGUGUGUUCAGUGCUCGU
RNAcentral lists this long non-coding RNA (2127 nucleotides) under Mus musculus (house mouse). Its description in RNAcentral is "long non-coding RNA chr5:145245178-145247305". The record is from RNAcentral. Lineage: Eukaryota; Metazoa; Chordata; Mammalia; Rodentia; Muridae.